CAACCUGGAACGGGGUCUAUACCGGAUACUGACUGCCAAGGCAUCUUGGCGGGUCGAAAGCUCCGGCGGUGCAGGAUGAGCGCGGCCUAUCAGCUUGUUGGUGAGGUAAUGGCUCACCAAGGCGACGACGGGUAGCCGGCUGAGAGGGCGACCGCCACACUGGGACUGAGACACGGCCCACUCCUACGGGAGGCAGCAGUGGGGAAUAUUGCACAAUGGGCGGAAAGCCUGAUGCAGCGACGCCGCGGUGAGGAUGACGGCCUUCGGGUUGUAAACCUCUUUCAGCAGGGAAGAAGCGAAAGUGACGGUACCUGCAGAAGAAGCGCCGGCUAACUACGUGCCAGCAGCCGCGGUAAUACGUAGGGCGCAAGCGUUGUCCGGAAUUAUUGGGCGUAAAGAGCCGUUAGGCGGCUUGUCGCGUCGGUUGUGAAAGCCCGGGCUUAACCCCGGGUCUGCAGUCGAUACGGCAGGCUAGAGUUCGGUAGGGGAGAUCGAGAAUUCCUGGUGUAGCUGGUGAAAUGCGCAGAUAUCAGGAGGAACACCGGUGGCGAAGGCGGAUCUCUGGGCGAUACUGACGCUGAGGAGCGAAAGCGUGGGGAGCGACAGGAUUACAUGCGCUGCUAGUCCGCUCCGUAACGUGGACUAGGUGUGGGCAACAUCACGUUGUCCGUGCGCUGCUACGCAUUAAGUGCCCCGCCU
Molecule: ribosomal RNA, 699 nt
Filed under: Streptomyces sp. SPF14
Lineage: Bacteria; Bacillati; Actinomycetota; Actinomycetes; Kitasatosporales; Streptomycetaceae
Description: bacterial SSU rRNA
Rfam family: Bacterial small subunit ribosomal RNA
Source: RNAcentral